AAGAGUUUAGUUUAAGCUAAAACGUUAGACUGUAAAUCUAAAGAUUUUUAUUCUUG
Molecule: transfer RNA, 56 nt
Filed under: Steinernema litorale
Lineage: Eukaryota; Metazoa; Nematoda; Chromadorea; Rhabditida; Steinernematidae
Description: tRNA-Tyr
Source: RNAcentral